This 392-nucleotide ribosomal RNA is filed under the name uncultured Gammaproteobacteria bacterium. RNAcentral's name for it is "bacterial SSU rRNA". It matches the Rfam family "Bacterial small subunit ribosomal RNA", at positions 370 to 779 of the family's 1533-position model. Lineage: Bacteria; Pseudomonadati; Pseudomonadota; Gammaproteobacteria. The record is from RNAcentral.
AAUGGGCGCAAGCCUGAUCCAGCCAUGCCGCGUGAGUGAUGAAGGCCCUAGGGUCGUAAAGCUCUUUCGCCUGUGAAGAUAAUGACGGUAGCAGGUAAAGAAACCCCGGCUAACUCCGUGCCAGCAGCCGCGGUAAUACGGAGGGGGUUAGCGUUGUUCGGAAUUACUGGGCGUAAAGCGCGCGUAGGCGGAUUAGUCAGUCAGAGGUGGAAUCCCAGGGCUCAACCCUGGAACUGCCUUUGAUACUGCUAGUCUUGAGUUCGAGAGAGGUAAGUGGAAUUCCGAGUGUAGAGGUGAAAUUCGUAGAUAUUCGGAGGAACACCAGUGGCGAAGGCGGCUUACUGGCUCGAUACUGACGCUGAGGUGCGAAAGUGUGGGGAGCAAACAGGAUU